UACGUAGGGGGCUAGCGUUGUCCGGAAUCAUUGGGCGUAAAGCGCGCGUAGGCGGCCCGGUAAGUCCGCUGUGAAAGUCCAGGGCUCAACCCUGGAAAGCCGGUGGAUACUGCCGGGCUAGAGUCCGGAAGAGGCGAGUGGAAUUCCUGGUGUAGCGGUGAAAUGCGCAGAUAUCAGGAGGAACACCUAUUGCGAAGGCAGCUCGCUGGGACGUAACUGACGCUGAGACGCGAAAGCGUGGGGAGCGAACAGG
RNAcentral lists this ribosomal RNA (253 nucleotides) under uncultured bacterium. Its description in RNAcentral is "partial 16S ribosomal RNA". It matches the Rfam family "Bacterial small subunit ribosomal RNA", at positions 524 to 776 of the family's 1533-position model. The record is from RNAcentral.